CCUACGGGUGGCAGCAGUGAGGAAUAUUGGUCAAUGGCCGAGAGGCUGAACCAGCCAAGUCGCGUGAGGGAAGAAUGUCCUAUGGAUUGUAAACCUCUUUUGUCAGGGAGCAAAGUCACCCACGUGUGGGUGUUGGAGAGUACCUGAAGAAAAAGCAUCGGCUAACUCCGUGCCAGCAGCCGCGGUAAUACGGAGGAUGCGAGCGUUAUCCGGAUUUUUUGGGUUAAAAGGGUGCGUAGGCGGGUUAUCAAGUCAGCGGUAAAAUCGUGGAGCUCAACUCCAUCCAGCCGUUGAAACUGAUGAUCUAGAGUGCGGGAGGGGUAAGCGGAAUUCCUAGUGUAGCGGUGAAAUGCGUAGAUAUUAGGAGGAACACCGGUGGCGAAGGCGGCUUACUGGACCGUAACUGACGUUGAGGCUCGAAAGCGUGGGGAGCAAACAGGAUUAGAUACCCUUGUAGUC
This 459-nucleotide ribosomal RNA is filed under the name uncultured bacterium. Its description in RNAcentral is "partial 16S ribosomal RNA". It matches the Rfam family "Bacterial small subunit ribosomal RNA", at positions 338 to 795 of the family's 1533-position model. The record is from RNAcentral.